UCACCCAGCUGUUAUGCCGCUUCUGCCUGCAAGAUGAGAAAGACACCUCCCCUUCCCAGGAGAGUCUCCGAGUCUGGGCCUUGCCACUCCUCACUCAGCAUCUGACCAUCCCCACCUCCUGGAUCUACAGGGUUCAUAGAGGAGGACCCAGAAGAGGGAAAGUCAGGCUGAGGAACUUGGCCUCCCUGCUGCAAGGGAAAUGACAUCGGUUACCAAGGAGGUGACCAGCUAUCCUUUUCCAAGACUGAAAAGCAGAAAUACGGCCCUGAGGCUAGAGGGUCUAAGAGAACAAUAGGAAGAAUUUCCUGACAAAGGACAAUGUUGCCUAAAGGACUCAGGAAGCUCUGUGAAAACAGGAGACUCCCGAGCAGAGCACCAGACCCUUCUCCACCAGGCAGUGUUUUUCCCAUAUGACAGGUGAGAAAACUGAGGCUGAGAGACAUGUAAUAACUUGCUGAAGCAGCAACCAGCACACCAUAUAGCUGAAAUCUGUAGAUCAGCAGUUAAAAGUGGUAGGGCAAGUCCUCUCUGACUUUCAGCGCUAAGAGCCUAGGAUUCUGUGUUUUUCUGCUUAAGCCUGGGAAUCAGAGUCCUACAAAAGCCGCGCCUAAUCCUGGGGGUGUGGGCUUUAAACCCAGAGAGAAAGCAUGUUAUUGGAAUACUCCUGCACUUUUCUCCCUUUGAAUCCCACC
RNAcentral lists this long non-coding RNA (692 nucleotides) under Homo sapiens (human). Its description in RNAcentral is "growth arrest associated lncRNA 1". Lineage: Eukaryota; Metazoa; Chordata; Mammalia; Primates; Hominidae. The record is from RNAcentral.